GUGGGUAGCAAACAGGAUUAGAUACCCUGGUAGUGCACGCCCGUAAACGAUGUCGACUAGCCGUUUGGGACCUUUUAAGGACUUAGUGGCGGCAGUUAACGCGAUAAAGUCGACCGCCUGGGGAAGUACGGCCGCAAGGUUAAAACUCAAAAUGAAUUGACGGGGGCCCGCACAAGCGGUGGAGCAUGUGGUUUAAUUCCAGAUGCAACGCGAAGAACCUUACCUACCCUUGACAUCCAGAGAAGUUGGCAGAGAUUGCCUUCGUGCCUUCGGGAACUCUGAGACAGGUGCUGCAAUGGCUGUCGUCAGCUCGUGUUGUGAAAUGUUGGGUUAAGUCCCGUAACGAGCGCAACCCUUGUCCUUAUUUGCCAGCGAGUAAUGGUGGGAACUCUAAGGAGACUGCCGGUGACAAACCGGAGGAAGGUGGGGACGACGUCAAGUCAUCAUGGCCCUUACGGGUAGGGCUACACACGUGCCUACAAUGGCCGGUACAAAGGGUUGCGAGACCGCGAAGGUGGAGCGAAUCCCAGAAAGCCGGCCUCAGUCCGGAUCGGAGUCUGCAACUCGACUCCGUGAAGUCGGGAAUCGCUAGUAAUCGUGAAUCAGAAUGUCACGGUGAAUACGUUCCCGGGCCUUGUACACACCCGGCCCGUCACACCAUGGGAGUUGGACUGCACCAGAAGUGGUUAGCUUAACCUUCGGGAGGGCGAUCACCACGGUGUGGCGUCAUGGACUGGGGUGAAGUCGUAACAAGGUAGCCGUAGGGGAACCUGCGGC
Molecule: ribosomal RNA, 777 nt
Filed under: Halomonas sp. 394
Lineage: Bacteria; Pseudomonadati; Pseudomonadota; Gammaproteobacteria; Oceanospirillales; Halomonadaceae
Description: bacterial SSU rRNA
Rfam family: Bacterial small subunit ribosomal RNA
Source: RNAcentral